AAAUUGAAGAGUUUGAUCAUGGCUCAGAUUGAACGCUGGCGGCAGGCCUAACACAUGCAAGUCGAACGGUAACAGGAAGCAGCUUGCUGCUUCGCUGACGAGUGGCGGACGGGUGAGUAAUGUCUGGGAAACUGCCUGAUGGAGGGGGAUAACUACUGGAAACGGUGGCUAAUACCGCAUAACGUCGCAAGACCAAAGAGGGGGACCUUCGGGCCUCUUGCCAUCAGAUGUGCCCAGAUGGGAUUAGCUUGUUGGUGAGGUAACGGCUCACCAAGGCGACGAUCCCUAGCUGGUCUGAGAGGAUGACCAGCCACACUGGAACUGAGACACGGUCCAGACUCCUACGGGAGGCAGCAGUGGGGAAUAUUGCACAAUGGGCGCAAGCCUGAUGCAGCCAUGCCGCGUGUAUGAAGAAGGCCUUAGGGUUGUAAAGUACUUUCAG
This 442-nucleotide ribosomal RNA is filed under the name Salmonella enterica. RNAcentral's name for it is "bacterial SSU rRNA". It matches the Rfam family "Bacterial small subunit ribosomal RNA", at positions 1 to 439 of the family's 1533-position model. The record is from RNAcentral. Lineage: Bacteria; Pseudomonadati; Pseudomonadota; Gammaproteobacteria; Enterobacterales; Enterobacteriaceae.